This 408-nucleotide ribosomal RNA is filed under the name uncultured bacterium. RNAcentral's name for it is "partial 16S ribosomal RNA". It matches the Rfam family "Bacterial small subunit ribosomal RNA", at positions 28 to 526 of the family's 1533-position model. The record is from RNAcentral.
GACGAACGCUGGCGGCGUGCUUAACACAUGCAAGUCGAACGGAGUGGCGAACGGGUGAGUAACACGUGGGUGACCUGCCCUGCACUUCGGGAUAAGCCUGGGAAACUGGGUCUAAUACCGGAUAGUGUGGGAUGGGCCCGCGGCCUAUCAGCUUGUUGGUGGGGUAAUGGCCUAUCAAGGCGGCGACGGGUAGCCGGCCUGGGAGGGUGGACGGGCACAAUGGGACUGAGACACGGCGCAGACUCCUACGGGAGGCAGCAGUGGGGAAUAUGGCACAAUGGGCGGAAGCCUGAUACAGCGGCGCCGCGUGGGGAAUGACGGGCUUCUAGUUGUAAACUACUUUCACCAUCGACGCGGUAGAUGGAGAAGAAGCACCGGCUAACUACGUGCCAGCAGCCGCGGUAAUUC